ACUGCUGAAUGCAUAUAAGUAGGAAGCCCACCUCAAGAUGAGUGCUCUUUAAGAUCAUGACUAGACUAGUCGUUUAAUAGGUAUUAAGUGUAAAAUUAGUAAUUUUUUGAGCUGAGAUAUACUAGUAGAUCAAAAGUUUUAUCCUA
This 146-nucleotide non-coding RNA is filed under the name Genlisea aurea. RNAcentral's name for it is "Bacterial large subunit ribosomal RNA". It matches the Rfam family "Bacterial large subunit ribosomal RNA", at positions 2767 to 2925 of the family's 2925-position model. Lineage: Eukaryota; Viridiplantae; Streptophyta; Magnoliopsida; Lamiales; Lentibulariaceae. The record is from Rfam by way of RNAcentral.